GAUGAACGCUGGCGGCGUGCCUAAUACAUGCAAGUCGAGCGAACGGACGAGAAGCUUGCUUCUCUGAUGUUAGCGGCGGACGGGUGAGUAACACGUGGAUAACCUACCUAUAAGACUGGGAUAACUUCGGGAAACCGGAGCUAAUACCGGAUAAUAUUUUGAACCGCAUGGUUCAAAAGUGAAAGACGGUCUUGCUGUCACUUAUAGAUGGAUCCGCGCUGCAUUAGCUAGUUGGUAAGGUAACGGCUUACCAAGGCAACGAUGCAUAGCCGACCUGAGAGGGUGAUCGGCCACACUGGAACUGAGACACGGUCCAGACUCCUACGGGAGGCAGCAGUAGGGAAUCUUCCGCAAUGGGCGAAAGCCUGACGGAGCAACGCCGCGUGGGUGAUGAAGGUCUUCGGAUCGUAAAACUCUGUUAUUAGGGAAGAACAUACGUGUAAGUAACUGUGCACAUCUUGACGGUACCUAAUCAGAAAGCCACGGCUAACUACGUG
Molecule: ribosomal RNA, 497 nt
Filed under: uncultured bacterium
Lineage: Bacteria
Description: partial 16S ribosomal RNA
Rfam family: Bacterial small subunit ribosomal RNA
Source: RNAcentral